CAAUUCAUUUUGGCCAAGGGUGUCACACAUGCAGACUGUUUUGCUGAGAUCUCGCUCUCUUCAUUCAGAGGUAUAACACACUUGCUGAUUAAAAAUGGUGGAGGGGUGACACCCAUAACGACUCACCGCAACCAUCUCUCUCUGAUCCCUGUGCCCUGGAGCUCGCCAAAAUAACAACCCAGAGGCGGAUGAGUGUAGCCAGAGUGUAAUACAGAACCAACAACAUGAUGGGAUUGACAAAGUGGUGCCACUCCAGAUCAGGAUUCACUUUGAACAACCAGACAACACUGUAAUCUCAUUGGUCACAGUAAGGGGAUCCGGCUGGAUUCUGUCUGUGCCCAUGUGCUGGCGGAUCACGCUGGAUUGGUUUAAGCUUGUGGUUGGGAUGUAAAGCUUUUAUGUGCAAAAUGAGCAGCAGCAUAAAUCAUGGCAUUAACCUGGCUCAACGUCUGCUUGGCAUGAAACAAAGUUCUACAUACUCAAACAAAUCCAAAUAAAUUAAGCAUUGGUGCCCAGUGAAAUGUCCAUGACAAGAUGUUUUUUUUAAUCUAAAAAUCGUGAGAAAAAAUGCAAAUAAUUAUAUAUGUACAGUGGCAAGAAAAAGUAUGUGAACCCUUUGGAAUUAGCUGUUUUUCUGCAUUAUUUGGUCAUAAAAUGUGAUCUCAUCUUCAUCAGAGUCACAAGUAUAGACAAACAACAAUGUGCUUAAGCUAACAACACACAAACAAUUCUAAUAUUUCAUGUCUUUAUUGAACACAUCUCAUUAAACAUUCACAGUGCUGUGGAAAAAGUAAGUGAACCCUUGGAUUUAAUAACUGGUCAAUCCUCCUUUGGCAGCAACAACCUCAACCAAGUAUUUCUGGUAGCUGCGGAUUAGACCUGCACAAAGUUCAGAAGGAAUUUUGGACCAUUCUUCCUUACAGAACUACUUCA
Molecule: long non-coding RNA, 933 nt
Organism: Myxocyprinus asiaticus (Chinese sucker)
Lineage: Eukaryota; Metazoa; Chordata; Actinopteri; Cypriniformes; Catostomidae
Exons: 3
Source: RefSeq, a predicted model, not a curated record